Molecule: ribosomal RNA, 249 nt
Filed under: uncultured euryarchaeote
Lineage: Archaea; Methanobacteriati; Methanobacteriota
Description: partial 16S ribosomal RNA
Rfam family: Archaeal small subunit ribosomal RNA
Source: RNAcentral
GGCGGCUCGAGUGGUGGCCACUAUUACUGGGCUUAAAGCGUUCGUAGCUGGUUUGUUAAGUCUCUGGGGAAAUCUGCCGGCUCAACCGGCAGGCGUUCCAGGGAUACUGGCAGACUAGGGACCGGGAGAGGUGAGGGGUACUCCGGGGGUAGGAGUGAAAUCCUGUAAUCCUUGGGGGACCACCUGUGGCGAAGGCGCCUCACCAGAACGGCUCCGACAGUGAGGGACGAAAGCUGGGGGAGCAAACCG